This is a long non-coding RNA of Stegostoma tigrinum, 609 nucleotides long. RefSeq lists it as uncharacterized. The record is from RefSeq and is a predicted model, not a curated record. Lineage: Eukaryota; Metazoa; Chordata; Chondrichthyes; Orectolobiformes; Stegostomatidae. The transcript has 2 exons.
UCUCUCAUCAGUGUCGACUUGAUCAAAAUUGAACAUUUUAGUAAAAAGAGGAUGUAUCGUAUGAUCACACUGGAACACAAUGUUCUUUCAUACUUUGAGAAAUGGGCCUCACAUUCUUAAGCAACUCUCCAAAUGACUUGCACUAACUGAUUUGAUUGUCAAUAAACCAAUUUGUUCUAUUUGUCAAUCAGCGAUGCUAUCACAGCAUUGCAGGAUGGGUCCUGGGAGUCUGUGUGUAUACGAAGUAGGAGUACGAACUCAGAACUCAAACUGUGUGAGGGAGUGCUGCACAUGGAUGUUCAAGAUCACUCCAAGUCUCCAUCGGCGUGCCUGGCAUUGGCGGUGGUGAAGGUGAAUGGGGCCUAAUGGCGAAGAUGGUACCUGAGGAUCGGCAGCUUCAAUGUUGGUUGGGUCUGGCGAGGCAGCGGUGGCGGUGGUGGUUCUGAGCUGGGUCAGAACUCGUACACAGCUGGACUCCUCUUGAAGCUAUCGCUUUUCGUUUUCUCUCUCUUAAACUAUCAAAAUGGUGCUGGAUUAUGGUGACAAAUGAAAGAUUUUCAUGUGUAUUUUACAAUGAAAUACAGUAAUAAUAAACCUUUCACUCAUGAA